Molecule: long non-coding RNA, 1436 nt
Organism: Vidua chalybeata
Lineage: Eukaryota; Metazoa; Chordata; Aves; Passeriformes; Viduidae
Exons: 2
Source: RefSeq, a predicted model, not a curated record
ACCAGCCCCUGUCAAAGCUGAUGGAACCACAGCAGAGAACCCUGAGAUUUUCACUGGCUGAGCCUGCCAAUGAGCAGCCAGUUCUAGCUUGCAGCACCCCAAGGAUUUCCUCUCAUGAAAAGCCUCUCGUAGCCCCCCUCCCCUUUGUGCAGCCAGACUCCUCCAGAGCUUUCAUUGCCCCAAGCCAGCAGCAGCACUUCAGCCUCAUUGUCCCCACCAAAACUCUGGGGUUUAACCUGUGAGAAGUCACUAAUUCUUAUUUUGUCAGCUCUGUUUGCCAGAGGAAACUUCCAGGUGGAGAGCCGUGGCUGUAUUUAUCUAUUUUAUCAUUAUCAGUGAUAAUGAUGUUCAGGAUGUUCAGGAUUCUGUGGCCUGAGACGCUGCUGCUGCUUUCAGGUGUCAGAGUGUCAAAACUCUCUCUCUGCUGUCCUCAGGGGCAGCUCCCAGGUGAGCUCUGGAUGCACAGAAAGCUUUUUUUAUGUUCCUUUUUCCAGCUGUUCUUUGCACAACAGCAUUUCUGGUCUAAGGCAGCUGACGUGGCACGUUCAGCUCUGUGUGAGAGAGACCUCUGGGCAAGUGGAGCUCAGGCAGCUCCUGGCUGUCACCCUGCUCCAAGAAUGACACAAGAACAGACAAGAGACCAAAUUGCAGAGGAGAAAAAGAAACUUUAAUACAAAGGAUUCUCCAGCUUAUAUAGACCGAUGCAUUCUACUGCAUUGGCUAGUUAAUAAAAAAACAUCUUUCUCACACACCGUCCUUGAGAGGAACAGAAAAGCAAGGUGGAAAAACACCACUGCAGAUGGUUUAGACUAACAAGAUACCACAUUCCUACAGCUCCCUAAAAAUUCUCACAAGCCACUGUGAGAACCCAUUGCUGUUUGUCUCUCCCUGCCCAGGCUGGCAUCCACACCUGGCUGCCGAAACUGCCACGAAAUCCCCUCGCUGCUCCAGCUUUUGCAGGGAAACAGCCCCAGAGCCAGCCCCUGCAGGCAGCGGGGAGCAGCUGGAGCAGCUCUGGGCCGUGCCUCACCGAGAUUUCCCCCUCCUGCCAGGCUUCCAGGUGCUGCUCAGGCUGCUGGACUCGGGGGACGAGGCGGCUGUGGGGAACGCAGCUUUGUGCCUGAGCCAGUGCCUGCUCCUGCCCGGGGCUGCCUCCUCCCUGCUGGGCUCCGGCGUGGUGCAGCUGCUGCUCAGGCAGGCCGGGGUGAUGCUCUCAACACCUCGGUGCAGCAGAACUCAGCCAUUGCCCUGGCCAGGCUCUGCGUGGCUGAGCCGAGGCACAUGCAUCAGCUGAGGAGGCUCAAUGGCCUGGCCAUCCUGAACUCCUCCAUGAAAUACGUGCACAGCAGCUGACCUCCUCAGAAACCCUCCACGAGCGCCCUUCAUCUCACUGCUGUCGAGUUUUCUUUGCUUUAAUAAAAUUAAUUCAAAGCACA